CCCCUAGAUGUUCUGGGCCGCACGCGCGCUACACUGACCAGUGCAACAAGCAUCCGUCCUUGGCCGACAGGCUCGGGCAAUCUUUGAACGCUGUUCGUGAUUGGGAUAGACCUUUGCAAUUAUGGGUCUUCAACGAGGAAUUCCUAGUAAACGCAAGUCAUCAGCUUGCAUUGAUUACGUCCCUGCCCUUUGUACACACCGCCCGUCGCACCUACCGAUUGAAUGGUCCGGUGAAAUCUCGGGACGGCGGCUUGGUCGCUUGCGUCCGACUGCUGAAACUUGAUUAAACCAUAUCAUUUAGAGGAAGGUGAAGUCGUANCA
RNAcentral lists this ribosomal RNA (321 nucleotides) under uncultured eukaryote. RNAcentral's name for it is "partial 18S ribosomal RNA". It matches the Rfam family "Eukaryotic small subunit ribosomal RNA", at positions 1470 to 1796 of the family's 1831-position model. The record is from RNAcentral.